ACUUCGGUCCUAGCGGCGAACGGGUGAGGAAUGCUUGGGAAUCUGCCCAGUAGCGGGGGAUAACGUUUCGAAAGGAACGCUAAUACCGCAUACGCCCUACGGGGGAAAGGGGGGGAUCUUCGGACCUCUCACUAUUGGAUGAGCCCAAGUCGGAUUAGCUAGUUGGUGAGGUAAAGGCUCACCAAGGCGACGAUCCGUAGCUGGUCUGAGAGGAUGAUCAGCCACACUGGAACUGAGACACGGUCUAGACUCCUACGGGAGGCAGCAGUGGGGAAUAUUGGACAAUGGGCGAAAGCCUGAUCCAGCCAUGCCGCGUGUGUGAAGAAGGCCUUCGGGUUGUAAAGCACUUUAAGCGAGGAGGAAGGGCUCUAGGUUAAUACCUUGGAGCAUUGACGUUACUCGCAGAAUAAGCACCGGCUAACUCUGUGCCAGCAGCCGCGGUAAUACAGAGGGUGCAAGCGUUAAUCGGAAUUACUGGGCGUAAAGCGCGCGUAGGCGGUUACGUAAGUUGGGUGUGAAAUCCCCGGGCUCAACCUGGGAAUUGCACUCAAAACUGCGUGGCUAGAGUGUGGGAGAGGAAGGUAGAAUUCCAGGUGUAGCGGUGAAAUGCGUAGAUAUCUGGAGGAAUACCGAUGGCGAAGGCAGCCUUCUGGCCUAACACUGACGCUGAGGUGCGAAAGCAUGGGGAGCAAACAGGAUUAGAUACCCUGGUAGUCCAUGCCGUAAACGAUGUCUACUAGCCGUUGGGGGACUUGAUCCUUUAGUGCGCAGCUAACGCAUUAAGUAGACCGCCUGGGGAGUACGGUCGCAAGACUAAAACUCAAAUGAAUUGACGGGGGCCCGCACAAGCGGUGGAGCAUGUGGUUUAAUUCGAUGCAACGCGAAGAACCUUACCUGUCUUGACAUGUC
Molecule: ribosomal RNA, 909 nt
Filed under: uncultured bacterium
Lineage: Bacteria
Description: bacterial SSU rRNA
Rfam family: Bacterial small subunit ribosomal RNA
Source: RNAcentral